This 1033-nucleotide ribosomal RNA is filed under the name Colacogloea sp. RNAcentral describes it as "partial large subunit ribosomal RNA". It matches the Rfam family "Eukaryotic large subunit ribosomal RNA", at positions 72 to 1106 of the family's 3401-position model. The record is from RNAcentral. Lineage: Eukaryota; Fungi; Basidiomycota; Microbotryomycetes; Colacogloeaceae.
GGAUUCCCCUAGUAGCGGCGAGCGAAGCGGGAAGAGCUCAAAUUUGUAAUCUGGCACUUUCAGUGUCCGAGUUGUAAUCUCGAGAAGUGUUUUCCGCGCUGGACCGCAUACAAGUCUGUUGGAAUACAGCGUCAUAGUGGUGAGAACCCCGUACAUGAUGCGGAUGCCCAGUGCUUUGUGAUACACUUUCGAAGAGUCGAGUUGUUUGGGAAUGCAGCUCAAAUUGGGUGGUAAAUUCCAUCUAAAGCUAAAUAUUGGCGAGAGACCGAUAGCGAACAAGUACCGUGAGGGAAAGAUGAAAAGCACUUUGGAAAGAGAGUUAACAGUACGUGAAAUUGUUGGAAGGGAAACGCUUGAAGUCAGACUUGCGUAUUGGAGUUCAGCCGCAAGGUGUAUUCUUCAGUUUGCAGGCCAGCAUCAGUUUUCGGGGGUGCAAAAGGGUGAGAGGAAGGUAGCAACUCCGGUUGUGUUAUAGCCUCUCACUGGAUGCAUCCUUGGGGACUGAGGAACGCAGUGUACUUUUUGCAAGUCUCUCGAGACUUUCUACACUUAGGAUGCUGGUGGAAUGGCUUUAAACGACCCGUCUUGAAACACGGACCAAGGAGUCUAACAUGCUUGCGAGUAUUUGGGUGUCAAACCCGGAUGCGCAAUGAAAGUGAAUGGAGGUGGGAACCGCAAGGUGCACCAUCGACCGAUCUGGAUUUUCUAAGAUGGAUUUGAGUAAGAGCACGUAUGUUGGGACCCGAAAGAUGGUGAACUAUGCCUGAAUAGGGCGAAGCCAGAGGAAACUCUGGUGGAGGCUCGUAGCGGUUCUGACGUGCAAAUCGAUCGUCAAAUUUGGGUAUAGGGGCGAAAGACUAAUCGAACCAUCUAGUAGCUGGUUCCUGCCGAAGUUUCCCUCAGGAUAGCAGAAACUCAUUAUCAGUUCUAUGAGGUAAAGCGAAUGAUUAGAGGCCUUGGGGUUGAAACAACCUUAACCUAUUCUCAAACUUUAAAUAUGUAGGAAGUCCUUGCUACUUAAUUGAGCGAGGAC